This 450-nucleotide ribosomal RNA is filed under the name uncultured Paracoccaceae bacterium. RNAcentral's name for it is "bacterial SSU rRNA". It matches the Rfam family "Bacterial small subunit ribosomal RNA", at positions 39 to 534 of the family's 1533-position model. Lineage: Bacteria; Pseudomonadati; Pseudomonadota; Alphaproteobacteria; Rhodobacterales; Paracoccaceae. The record is from RNAcentral.
UGCGGCAGGCCUAACACAUGCAAGUCGAGCGCACUCUUCGGAGUGAGCGGCGGACGGGUUAGUAACGCGUGGGAACGUACCCAGAUCUAAGGAAUAGCCACUGGAAACGGUGAGUAAUACCUACUACGCCCUUCGGGGGAAAGAUUUAUCGGAUUUGGAUCGGCCCGCGUUAGAUUAGGUAGUUGGUGGGGUAAUGGCCUACCAAGCCUACGAUCUAUAGCUGGUUUUAGAGGAUGAUCAGCAACACUGGGACUGAGACACGGCCCAGACUCCUACGGGAGGCAGCAGUGGGGAAUCUUAGACAAUGGGCGCAAGCCUGAUCUAGCCAUGCCGCGUGAGUGAUGAAGGCCUUAGGGUCGUAAAGCUCUUUCGCCUGUGAUGAUAAUGACAGUAGCAGGUAAAGAAACCCCGGCUAACUCCGUGCCAGCAUCCGCGGUAAUACGGAGGGGG